UACGGAGGAUCCGAGCGUUAUCCGGAUUUAUUGGGUUUAAAGGGUGCGCAGGCGGAAGAUUAAGUCGGUGGUGAAAUUUUGCAGCUCAACUGUAAAAGUGCCAUUGAUACUGGUUUUCUUGAGUGUGGAUGAAGUAGGCGGAAUUUGUGGUGUAGCGGUGAAACGCUUAGAUAUCACGGGGAACUCCGAUUGCGCAGGCAGCUUACUAAACCAUAACUGACGCUCAGGCACGAAAGCGUGGGGAUCAAACAGGAUUAGAUACCCCGGUAGUCCCU
This 275-nucleotide ribosomal RNA is filed under the name uncultured prokaryote. RNAcentral's name for it is "partial 16S ribosomal RNA". It matches the Rfam family "Bacterial small subunit ribosomal RNA", at positions 524 to 798 of the family's 1533-position model. The record is from RNAcentral.